UACAGAGGUCCCGAGCGUUGUUCGGAUUCAUUGGGCGUAAAGGGUGCGUAGGCGGCGGGGAAAGUCUGAUGUGAAAUCCUGGGGCUCAACCCUGGAACUGCAUUGGAUACUUCCUUGCUAGAGUACUGGAGAGGAAACUGGAAUUUACGGUGUAGCAGUGAAAUGCGUAGAGAUCGUAAGGAAGACCAGUGGCGAAGGCGAGUUUCUGGACAGUUACUGACGCUGAGGCACGAAAGCCAGGGGAGCAAACGGG
RNAcentral lists this ribosomal RNA (253 nucleotides) under uncultured bacterium. RNAcentral describes it as "partial 16S ribosomal RNA". It matches the Rfam family "Bacterial small subunit ribosomal RNA", at positions 524 to 776 of the family's 1533-position model. The record is from RNAcentral.